AGCGAACGCUGGCGGCAGGCUUAACACAUGCAAGUCGAGCGCCCCGCCAGGGGAGCGGCUGACGGGAGAGUAACACGUGGGAACAUACCUUUUGGUUCGGAACAACUGAGGGAAACUUCAGCUAAUACCGGAUAAGCCCUUACGGGGAAAGAUUUAUCGCCGAAAGAUUGGCCCGCGUCUGAUUAGCUAGUUGGUGAGGUAACGGCUCACCAAGGCGACGAUCAGUAGCUGGUCUGAGAGGAUGAUCAGCCUCACUGGGACUGAGACACGGCCCAGACUCCUACGGGAGGCAGCAGUGGGGAAUAUUGGACAAUGGGGGCAACCCUGAUCCAGCCAUGCCGCGUGAGUGAUGAAGGCCUUAGGGUUGUAAAGCUCUUUUGCCCGGGAAGAUAAUGACGGUACCGGGAGAAUAAGCCCCGGCUAACUUCGUG
RNAcentral lists this ribosomal RNA (431 nucleotides) under uncultured bacterium. Its description in RNAcentral is "partial 16S ribosomal RNA". It matches the Rfam family "Bacterial small subunit ribosomal RNA", at positions 29 to 507 of the family's 1533-position model. The record is from RNAcentral.